This 253-nucleotide ribosomal RNA is filed under the name uncultured bacterium. RNAcentral describes it as "partial 16S ribosomal RNA". It matches the Rfam family "Bacterial small subunit ribosomal RNA", at positions 524 to 776 of the family's 1533-position model. The record is from RNAcentral.
UACGUAGGGUGCGAGCGUUGUCCGGAAUCAUUGGGCGUAAAGAGCGUGUAGGCGGUUCGGUAAGUCCGCUGUGAAAGUCCAGGGCUCAACCCUGGAAUGCCGGUGGAUACUGUCGGGCUAGAGUCCGGAAGAGGCGAGUGGAAUUCCUGGUGUAGCGGUGAAAUGCGCAGAUAUCAGGAGGAACACCAAUGGCGAAGGCAGCUCGCUGGGACGGUACUGACGCUGAGACGCGAAAGCGUGGGGAGCAAACAGG